Molecule: ribosomal RNA, 253 nt
Filed under: uncultured bacterium
Lineage: Bacteria
Description: partial 16S ribosomal RNA
Rfam family: Bacterial small subunit ribosomal RNA
Source: RNAcentral
UACGUAGGUGGCAAGCGUUGUCCGGAUUUACUGGGCGUAAAGAGCGCGCAGGCGGUCGUUCAAGUCGCGUGUGAAAGCCCCCGGCUCAACUGGGGAGGGUCACGCGAUACUGAUCGACUCGAAGGCAGGAGAGGGUAGUGGAAUUCCCGGUGUAGUGGUGAAAUGCGUAGAUAUCGGGAGGAACACCAGUGGCGAAGGCGGUUGCCUGGAGCUUUGCUGACGCUGAGGCGCGAAAGCGUGGGGAGCGAUCCGG